GGCGGCGACUGCAGCCGCCCUGCAUGUCAGAGCGAAAACCUCGCGCAGACUGUAAAUCUGCCGGCUUCGCCUUCCCAGGUUCGAAUCCUGGCGCCGCCA
RNAcentral lists this transfer RNA (99 nucleotides) under Streptomyces sp. C1-2. Its description in RNAcentral is "tRNA-Tyr". Lineage: Bacteria; Bacillati; Actinomycetota; Actinomycetes; Kitasatosporales; Streptomycetaceae. The record is from RNAcentral.